UGCCAGCAGCCGCGGUAAUACGGAGGGGGCUAGCGUUGUUCGGAAUUACUGGGCGUAAAGCGCGCGUAGGCGGGCUGUUAAGUCGGGGGUGAAAUCCCGGGGCUCAACCCCGGAACUGCCUCCGAUACUGGCAGCCUAGAGAUCGAGAGAGGCGAGUGGAAUACCGAGUGUAGAGGUGAAAUUCGUAGAUAUUCGGUGGAACACCAGUGGCGAAGGCGACCUCCUGGACUGAUAUUGACGCUGAGGCGCGAAGGCGUGGGUAGCGAACGGGAUUAGAUA
Molecule: ribosomal RNA, 279 nt
Filed under: uncultured bacterium
Lineage: Bacteria
Description: partial 16S ribosomal RNA
Rfam family: Bacterial small subunit ribosomal RNA
Source: RNAcentral